UACGAAGGGGGCUAGCGUUGCUCGGAUUGACUGGGCGUAAAGGGCGCGUAGGCGGUUCGUACAGUCAGACGUGAAAUUCCUGGGCUCAACCUGGGGGCUGCGUUUGAUACGUGCGGACUUGAGUGCGGAAGAGGGUCGUGGAAUUCCCAGUGUAGAGGUGAAAUUCGUAGAUAUUGGGAAGAACACCGGUGGCGAAGGCGGCGACCUGGUCCGAUACUGGCGCUGAGGAGCGAAAGUCAGGGGAGCAAACGGG
This 253-nucleotide ribosomal RNA is filed under the name uncultured bacterium. RNAcentral describes it as "partial 16S ribosomal RNA". It matches the Rfam family "Bacterial small subunit ribosomal RNA", at positions 524 to 776 of the family's 1533-position model. The record is from RNAcentral.